This is a long non-coding RNA of Leopardus geoffroyi (Geoffroy's cat), 1024 nucleotides long. RefSeq lists it as uncharacterized. Lineage: Eukaryota; Metazoa; Chordata; Mammalia; Carnivora; Felidae. The transcript is spliced from 6 exons. The record is from RefSeq and is a predicted model, not a curated record.
UGGCGGGGGGGGGUGGGGGGGGGGGUGGGUCACGUGGCGGAAAUGUGGCCUCUCGCCAACCCCAGCCUGCCUCAAACCGGAAGUUUAUGUGGUUGCCUGGGAGACCGGACUUCGCCCUAGGGCCCGGGCAUCACACACAGCUGAGCCCACAGAGGCCCCGCGAGCGGGCGCCGCGUGGCGGAGUGAGCUGAAGCUGCAGCCUGGAACCCGAUCGAUCGUGAGGAAAGACGCGGCCACACUGUCCCGAGGAAAUGCGGACCGAGGUUUGCAAGCCACUUGUCAGAACAAAGCACUUAAGAAAUUUUACUGAUAUCGUGGCCCCCUUUACUACUUGGACUCCCUUGCCUUUCGAUCUCAGAAUCACCACUAGCUCCUUUCUGAUUAAGCAAGAAUUGAUUAAGCAGGGCUUUUAGUUGGACACUGAAAGCUGAGAUGCAGAUAGUGAUUCUGGAAGAGGGGUAGUAAUGCGCCCAAACGUGCCCAUCCUGGAACCCUUGGUCUACACAGGCAUAUAAUCUGCGAUCCGGCCAAAGAGCAGCCGUCCGACUCCUGAAGUGAUGCCAAUGCACAUGAGAACCACCUCUUUAUUUUUUCCAUCUUGAAAUCUUUCAUUCACAUAUUUCAUCUGUGGACCAUCAAGAAAGAAGCAACACUAAAUACGGAGGACCUGAACCAAACUGACACUCCUGAAACAGCUGGAGUGGAGCUUCCAGGAUAAAGCAGAAGUACAUAAAUAUCUUAUUUAAAAGUCAUACUCUUCAGAGGAGCCAGGCUCAAGCCCUGGCCAUACCAGCUACCAGCCUUGCAUGAUUGCCUAUCUCACAGUGUGGCCCUGAGACUCCAGUGAAAGAUAACGUUUGUGGGAACUUCUUGUAUGUCAAACGUCAAUAAAAAGGUGGGAAAUCAGUAAAUGUUGCAUGUGUUUAAGAAACUGGUGGUUUUAAGCAAAUCCUUCCAUGGCUGUGAGGACUGGACACGCUGAAUCCUAAACCACAUGCUCGGGAGCUCUGGACGCGGCAGCUGU